GCCAGGAUCAACUCACUAUAUUCCCUGAUGUUAGCGGCGGACGGGUGAGUAACACGUGGGUAACCUGCCUGUAAGACUGGGAUAACUCCGGGAAACCGGGGCUAAUACCGGAUGCUUGUUUGAACCGCAUGGUUCAAACAUAAAAGGUGGCUUCGGCUACCACUUACAGAUGGACCCGCGGCGCAUUAGCUAGUUGGUGAGGUAAUGGCUCACCAAGGCAACGAUGCGUAGCCGACCUGAGAGGGUGAUCGGCCACACUGGGACUGAGACACGGCCCAGACUCCUACGGGAGGCAGCAGUAGGGAAUCUUCCGCAAUGGACGAAAGUCUGACGGAGCAACGCCGCGUGAGUGAUGAAGGUUUUCGGAUCGUAAAGCUCUGUUGUUAGGGAAGAACAAGUACCGUUCGAAUAGGGCGGUACCUUGACGGUACCUAACCAGAAAGCCACGGCUAACUACGUGCCAGCAGCCGCGGUAAUACGUAGGUGGCAAGCGUUGUCCGGAAUUAUUGGGCGUAAAGGGCUCGCAGGCGGUUUCUUAAGUCUGAUGUGAAAGCCCCCGGCUCAACCGGGGAGGGUCAUUGGAAACUGGGGAACUUGAGUGCAGAAGAGGAGAGUGGAAUUCCACGUGUAGCGGUGAAAUGCGUAGAGAUGUGGAGGAACACCAGUGGCGAAGGCGACUCUCUGGUCUGUAACUGACGCUGAGGAGCGAAAGCGUGGGGA
Molecule: ribosomal RNA, 720 nt
Filed under: Bacillus subtilis
Lineage: Bacteria; Bacillati; Bacillota; Bacilli; Caryophanales; Bacillaceae
Description: bacterial SSU rRNA
Rfam family: Bacterial small subunit ribosomal RNA
Source: RNAcentral